UAACAACUAACCUUCUGUGGAAUGAUCAUAUCAAUGACACAAUUAAAAAGGCUUCGAAACGAUUAUAUUUCCUUAUCCAAUUGAAAAGAGCAAAAUUAUCACCGAAAGAUUUAGUUCUCUUCUAUUAGUUCUAUAUAACGUGUAUUAGAUCUGUUCUAACUUAUGCCAUUCCUGUGUUUUUUUAUGGAUUGCCAAAGUACCUGA
Non-coding RNA from Paramuricea clavata, 204 nucleotides. The record is from the annotation of a GenBank genome assembly. NCBI's taxonomy places the organism in Eukaryota, Metazoa, Cnidaria, Anthozoa, Malacalcyonacea, Plexauridae.